Molecule: small RNA, 106 nt
Filed under: Marmota monax (woodchuck)
Lineage: Eukaryota; Metazoa; Chordata; Mammalia; Rodentia; Sciuridae
Source: RNAcentral
GCUGGGUGUGGUGGUGCACACCUGUAAUCUCAGGUACUUGGGAGGCUGAGAUAAGAGGAUUUUAAAUUUGAGGCAGCCUUGGCAAUUUAGUGAGACUCUGUCUCAC